Molecule: long non-coding RNA, 736 nt
Organism: Cyprinus carpio carpio
Lineage: Eukaryota; Metazoa; Chordata; Actinopteri; Cypriniformes; Cyprinidae
Source: Ensembl
CUCAUUGGACUGAAGUAGCCAUUCUCAUGUAUAUUAAUUAUCAAAUACGGACGAGCAUACACUGAUUAUGUAAAUUUAGAAUCGGAUUACAAACAAAUCCUUCAAAUUAAGCGUCACAGACAGACUAAAUUUGACAGUUGGCCACAUGCGGCAGGCUCUUCUCUCUACCAGCCUUCGUCUCUUUCUGUUUCCCAAGAGCUCCGUCAGUAUGAAGAGGCCCGAGGACGCCAUCUCAUCUUCUCUCAGCCGGUGUCAAGCAGCAAUCCUGUGGGGCCCGUCCCUGCUUAAUUCAGCUUAGAGGCCCUCUCUCGUCCCCGACAUUCCUGAUCGCCUCAUUUUUCCCGGUAUGCCUCUCAGGGCUGAGGUGGGGAACCCGCCUGAGGAGGAUUUCGUGAGGAUUCCACGUUGGACACCAGGAUCAGCAGCCAGAAAGGAUCUUCCCCUAUUGGAGUAUGCGGUUGAUGUUUAGCCAGCUUGCCUUUCUAACGGCAUUCGACAACUCUGCUCUGAACUCACUGUUCUGGAUCGGGGCUAACUACCAUCACCCCGUCGACCUCCGUCGACCUCACUCUGGAGAGUGCACUGCCCCGAUCCAGAGCAUAGCCAGACCCAGAGUCCAGCCCACCAUCUCCCCGCUGUGUGGAGCCCAAGCCCGAGCCCACCGAUGAUGGAGAGCCUGAGCCCGCCACGACCGAUCUGCCAUUGCCAUGCGGAGUGACAGAGCUGAGGAUUGCCG